RNAcentral lists this ribosomal RNA (497 nucleotides) under uncultured bacterium. RNAcentral describes it as "partial 16S ribosomal RNA". It matches the Rfam family "Bacterial small subunit ribosomal RNA", at positions 28 to 507 of the family's 1533-position model. The record is from RNAcentral.
GAUGAACGCUGGCGGCGUGCCUAAUACAUGCAAGUCGAGCGAACAGACGAGGAGCUUGCUCCUCUGACGUUAGCGGCGGACGGGUGAGUAACACGUGGAUAACCUACCUAUAAGACUGGGAUAACUUCGGGAAACCGGAGCUAAUACCGGAUAACAUCUUGAACCGCAUGGUUCAACAGUGAAAGACGGUCUUGCUGUCACUUAUAGAUGGAUCCGCGCCGCAUUAGCUAGUUGGUAAGGUAACGGCUUACCAAGGCAACGAUGCGUAGCCGACCUGAGAGGGUGAUCGGCCACACUGGAACUGAGACACGGUCCAGACUCCUACGGGAGGCAGCAGUAGGGAAUCUUCCGCAAUGGGCGAAAGCCUGACGGAGCAACGCCGCGUGAGUGAAGAAGGUCUUCGGAUCGUAAAACUCUGUUAUUAGGGAAGAACAAAUGUGUAAGUAACUAUGCACGUCUUGACGGUACCUAAUCAGAAAGCCACGGCUAACUACGUG